Molecule: ribosomal RNA, 252 nt
Filed under: uncultured bacterium
Lineage: Bacteria
Description: partial 16S ribosomal RNA
Rfam family: Bacterial small subunit ribosomal RNA
Source: RNAcentral
UACGAAGGGGGCUAGCGUUGCUCGGAAUCACUGGGCGUAAAGGGUGCGUAGGCGGGUCUUUAAGUCAGGGGUGAAAUCCUGGAGCUCAACUCCAGAACUGCCUUUGAUACUGAAGAUCUUGAGUUCGGGAGAGGUGAGUGAACUGCGAGUGUAGAGGUGAAAUUCGUAGAUAUUCGCAAGAACACCAGUGGCGAAGGCGGCUCACUGGCCCGAUACUGACGCUGAGGCAUGAAAGCGUGGGGAGCAAACAGG